Molecule: long non-coding RNA, 1500 nt
Filed under: Anser brachyrhynchus (Pink-footed goose)
Lineage: Eukaryota; Metazoa; Chordata; Aves; Anseriformes; Anatidae
Description: lncRNA (ENSABRG00000014737.1)
Source: RNAcentral
GGAGGAUGAGGCAUUUCUCACAGAAAUCUGCUCAUUUUAUUUUCACCAGAAAUGUUUGCUUGCUUGUUUGUUUCCCAUCCACAGGAAAUAAAGAGAAAAAAACACAUUGCUUUUCCUGGAUUAAGCUUUGAUUUGAGAUAAGGCUUUACGAGACCUUGCUAUUUCCAUUUUUAAUCACCCCUGGUGAACUCAUUGGCUAUAAAUCUGAAACAAUCACGUAAACACCACCAGCCCAAGCCUGCAGACCCAAGCCAUCAUUAUUGCCCUCGCUCUGCUCCCUUGCAGGGGAAAGCACAGGAGCAGGAGGCUGGGCUCUCCCUGCCUGAGAAACAGCCGCAGCUUGAUGCUUAAUUGGGAAGGAACCCAAGCAGCUGCUCCACCCCAGGUGCUGCACCCCAGGGUGGGGUGAGGUUCCCCUGGGACCCCCGCCCGGUGCCUGCCAAGCCCAGUCCUGCCCUGGUCCUGCUGGCAGCAGCAGCAGACCUGGGACUUGGGUAUCCUCUGUGGGGCAAGUGGACACACGGAGCUGCCUUCAAAAGGAGUCACCACAAGGCCUCAGCCUGGCUCUCCUCCACCUGUGUCUCCACAAAGGUCAUGCCUGAGAAGAUCCAUGAGGCCAGCUCUCCACGUGGAAACUGUGAAUAGGACCAUGGCUGGAAGUAGUGUCCUCCCAGCUCCCCAACGGCUGUGGGGCAGGGGACCAGUGUGCUUCUAGCAGCGGUGGGGUUGUCUCCUUCAGAGCUUGUUGGGAAGGCUCGUGCCCACAUUGUGAGGGCCUGCUGACGUCUGUGCUCCCAUCCACUCAGCGCUGGGGUAGCUGUUUAUCCACCACCCUUCAUCAAUGAGGUUUAAGGGCAUACCUCAGAAAGGCAGCACAUGGUGCUUUCUGUAGCACUGAGAGUGAAGGGGAGAAACUUAAAGCCAAUGGGAAGGAUUUGCAUUAGCUCUGCUGCCAAGAAGUCUUUCCUAAACUCUCUCCUUCAAUAAUAUCUGGGUCAAAAUAAUACUGACUCUACUAAAUCUUCAGUUUUCUUGCUUUUUGUGUAUCAACACUAGGACAAAGCAAUUACAGCCCCCAGAGACACACAUGAGUGAAGUGAGUGAGGCAGAGAUAUUAGUGUUGCUGUUGUCCUUUCCUGCCCUGUCGCCUGCCUUUGUUAAUCUGCAUGUGCAAAUUAAACUGAAAUUAAACUCUUAAUUUAUCAUCUUGUUGUGGUGACAGCAGGCAGGACCAGAACGCUUUACAAACACGUAGCACCACAUUAACAUCAGAAACAGAUUCUUCCCCCGAGAGAGGGGAAGAUUUCAAAGAAUGUGGAAAGAUACCACAGGGCUGUAAUCCCUCUUGCUGUACAGAAAACAACCGAUUGUUGUUGAAACCCUUGGAGGGGGGAGGUGAGGGAUCUGCACAACACAUGUAGGCUACAGCUUUUCCACCGUCGAGAGUGGAGAUGGGAAAUUUGAAAUAAACAACCUUGGGGGGUGGAAGGAAAAAAAAAA